UUCCGGUUGAUCCCGCCGGACCUGACUGCUAUCGGAUUGGUACUAAGCCAUGCGAGUCAUUGUAGCAAUACAAGGCGGACGGCUCAGUAACACGUAGUCAACCUAACUCGUGGACGUGGAUAACCUCGGGAAACUGAGAAUAAACCACGAUAGAUCAUAGUGCCUGGAAUGGCUUAUGGUCCAAACAGUUUACUGCCAUGGGAUGGGACUGCGGCCUAUCAGCUUGUUGGUGAGGUAAUGGCCCACCAAGGCGAUUACAGGUACGGGCUCUGAGAGGAGAAGCCCGGAGAUGGGUACUGAGACACGGACCCAGGCCCUAUGGGGCGCAGCAGGCGGGAAACCUUAGCAAUGUGCGAGAGCACGACUGGGUCAGUCCGAGUGAUUCCUGAUAAAGGAGUCUUUUGCUUGUCCUAAAAGCACAGGUGAAUAAGGGGUGGGCAAGUCUGGUGUCAGCCGCCGCGGUAAUACCAGCACCUCGAGUGGUCAGGACGUUUAUUGGGCCUAAAGCAUCCGUAGCCGGCUUUGCAAGUCUUCGGUUAAAUCCACCUGCUCAACAGAUGGGCCGCUGGAGAUACUACAAAGCUAGGGAGUGGGAGAGGCAGACGGUAUUCAGUGGGUAGGGGUAAAAUCCUCUGAUCCAUUGAGGACCACCAGUGGCGAAGGCGGUCUGCCAGAACACGUUCGACGGUGAGGGAUGAAAGCUGGGGGAGCAAACCGGAUUAGAUACCCGGGUAGUCCCAGCUGUAAACGAUGCAAACUCGGUGAUGCAUUGGCUUAUGGCCAAUGCAGUGCCGCAGGGAAGCCGUUAAGUUUGCCGCCUGGGAAGUACGGACGCAAGUCUGAAACUUAAAGGAAUUGGCGGGGGAGCACCACAAGGGGUGAAGCCUGCGGUUCAAUU
Molecule: ribosomal RNA, 898 nt
Filed under: uncultured archaeon
Lineage: Archaea
Description: bacterial SSU rRNA
Rfam family: Archaeal small subunit ribosomal RNA
Source: RNAcentral